Gorilla gorilla gorilla (western lowland gorilla) is the source of this 282-nucleotide unclassified non-coding RNA. It matches the Rfam family "Metazoan signal recognition particle RNA". From Rfam's summary of the family: The signal recognition particle (SRP) is a universally conserved ribonucleoprotein. It is involved in the co-translational targeting of proteins to membranes. The record is from Ensembl. NCBI's taxonomy places the organism in Eukaryota, Metazoa, Chordata, Mammalia, Primates, Hominidae.
GCCGGGCAUGGUGGCUCAUGCCUGUAAUCCCAGCACUUUGGGAGCCCGAGGCAGGAGGAUCACUUGAGGUCAGGAGCUCAAGACCAGCCUAGCCAACAGGGCGCAACCCUGCCUCUACUAAAGGUACAAAAAUUAGCUGGGCUUGGUGGCGCACGCCUGUAAUCCCAGCUACUCAGGAGGCUGAGGCAUGAGAAUUGCUUAAACCUGGGAGGCAGAGGUUGCAGUGAGCUGAGAUGGCACCUCUGUACUCCAGCCUGGGCAACAGAGUGAGACUCUGUCUCA